AGAAAAAUUGAUAUUGUAUUAUUUAGAAAAUCAAAUAAGAACAAACUUGAUUCAAAUUUUCACCAACUAUGACAGUGAGGAGUUUAGUACUAUAACAUUUGGAUUCGAUAAUACAGAAUGACAUAAUGUUCCCCGACAGUGUAAAGUUGAAGGUAAAGAGGAGGAGGAAGAAGAACAAGAGCAACUAACCAAGAGAGAGAGAGCCAAAUGAAAACGUGAGAAGAAAG
RNAcentral lists this long non-coding RNA (227 nucleotides) under Capsicum annuum. RNAcentral describes it as "long non-coding RNA (CANN_LNC009524)". Lineage: Eukaryota; Viridiplantae; Streptophyta; Magnoliopsida; Solanales; Solanaceae. The record is from RNAcentral.